UUUUUGGAAGGCUUGAAUGAAGACUAUGAGACUAUCAAGUCUGGAAUUCUGGUUAUGGACCCCAUUCCAGAUAUGGAAAAGGUGUUGAAUAUGGCCCUGAAGCUUGAAAGAAGGAGCUCAAGAAGUCCAUU
This is a long non-coding RNA of Ipomoea nil (Japanese morning glory), 131 nucleotides long. RefSeq lists it as uncharacterized. Lineage: Eukaryota; Viridiplantae; Streptophyta; Magnoliopsida; Solanales; Convolvulaceae. The transcript has 3 exons. The record is from RefSeq and is a predicted model, not a curated record.